RNAcentral lists this ribosomal RNA (134 nucleotides) under uncultured bacterium. RNAcentral's name for it is "partial 16S ribosomal RNA". It matches the Rfam family "Bacterial small subunit ribosomal RNA", at positions 1373 to 1500 of the family's 1533-position model. The record is from RNAcentral.
CCCGGGCCUUGUACACACCGCCCGUCACACCACGAAAGUCGCCAACACCCGAAGCCGGUGGGCUAACCCCUUGUGGGAGGCAGCCGUCGAAGGUGGGGGUCGAUGAUUGGGGGUGAAGUCGUAAACAAGGUACC